CCGAGCACAAACAUCACAUAGUCAGAUCAAUCUUAAUGUCAAAAUUGUCUGGAAUUCUACCCAUUCAGAAAGGAGCAGGACCACAGAAGAAUAAUGACAGUACUUCAACUCUAGCCUUGCAGAUUGGCCCAAUGAAUACCAUGAUUAAUGAUAUCAAAUGCUGCUACAAAAUCAAGAGGAAGAUGAUGGUGAAGAAGUUGAUGGGAGGAUCCCCCUGGCAGAAGAGAAGCACAACCCCAGACAGAAGAACAAACUAGAGGCUAAGGGGAAGGGAAGGAGAGAAACAUCUGCUGCUACCUAGGUUUGAACUCUCAACCUUUCGAGUGGGAGGCGAGUGUCGUCACCACAGUGAAACAAAACACAAAUUAUUUUGGAUUCACACUGCUCUGAAACAUCUAGGGCAAUAUUAAACAACUGAAAUAUCUACG
Molecule: non-coding RNA, 428 nt
Organism: Pantherophis guttatus
Lineage: Eukaryota; Metazoa; Chordata; Lepidosauria; Squamata; Colubridae
Source: RefSeq, a predicted model, not a curated record